UGGAUACGCCAAGUUUGACUGCUGAGGGGUCAACUACUGUGAAAAGAAACAUAUUUAAUCAAAAGCCUCCAUCAACUUCAGAUGCAUCAGCUAGUGGAUGCUGCUGAAUUUGAUGCUAGUGGAUGCUGCUGAAUUUGAUGUGUUGUAACCUGAGGAAUAUGUAUCAUGUGGGAUGGAUGUUUGUUAUUUCUUUCAUGUUCUUUGAAACGACCCACCCUUGUAUCUUUGGUUGAACUAUGAUCAUGAUAAUAUUUAUUAUAUGCUGAAAUUGGUUGAUAAAAUCUAUUAUAUGUUUAUCAGACAUACGUUACACCGAUCAUUAUAUAUNNNNNNNNNNNNNNNNNNNNNNNNNNNNNNNNNNNNNNNNNNNNNNNNNNNNNNNNNNNNNNNNNNNNNNNNUAUAUAUAUAUAUAUAUAUAUAGAGAGAGAGAGAGAGAGAGAGAGAGAGAGAGAGAGAGAGAGAGAUAUGUUCAAACGAAAACAUUUUCUAUGAUGAGAACAUUUAAGAACAUUUAUCCCACCACCUACCCCACCCUUAACCACUGGUCCAUCUAUUCCCCUUCUCCCAAACUAGUUUUUCGCUCAAAUCCGAAUACAACACUCAAUUUUCACCGCUGCAUUUUUUCCACUCCGUCAUCGUUAAAGUUACUAGUAAUCGGAUUGACACCAUCAAUCACUACCGGAGAUCACUUUUGCAACAAUGGAUCCUCAAUUUCAACGACAACUGGCGGCAAUACUGGGAGUCGAUAUGCCGUUCGAAGCGCUAAUAUCUCAGUUAGUGGAGGUGGUGGGAUCUAUGUUGCAGAUAGUUAAGCCAAGUCAAGUCGGAGACGCUACUACAAUCUUCAAGGUAUAAAAUUAAUACCACCUAGUUUUCAAUUAAAUCUUCUUGUAUCAUGCUUAUGCUUGCGAAACAUUAAUUUUUCAUGAUACGUGAUCCUAAUUUGUUUUGGAAAGUGUUCUAUAGUGGUAAUUGCAACAACUAUCACAAGUUUAUUCAUUUUUUCCAUUAUUUCUUCUAGUCCUUUGACUUGAAACUCAGUGUAAUAAUAAACGACCACAAGAAGAUGAAUCAACGACAAGAAAAAAAUCUGAAUUAUUGGACUUCAUUUCCCCAAACAUAUUCAACAACUUGAAUGUUUGGUUGUUGAGAUUAUAAACUGGAUUUUAUAUUCUUGCAUAGUUUCCCAAAACAUAUUUUGAUAUCUUUGUUUAAUUUUCCUCUGUGUAGGAAUCGAAAGAGGUGACUUAAAGAGCUUCAUGGGUUAAGUUGGCAACUUAACCCUAAUAAGUAUGAAAGUGACAUUUUAUUUGAAAAUCCUUAACUUUGAACCCUCAUUAAGCCAACCAUUAAGGCCCUUAGGUUAAAUUGAAUUUCACAUCUCUAUAGCCUAAUAAGUAACCAACAAUCAUGUUAAAAGUGAUAAACUUAAGGCUUAACCGUUAACUCCUUAAUAGAAUAGCAAAAAUGAUUUAGAAACCUAGGAAUUCCACACUAUAAAAGUAACCCCUACCAUCCCUAAAAUUGGCCAUAAGAAUUCCAAGGUGAAUCCCUAGCCGAUUUAUGUUUCCUAACCUCUCUCUUAUAAGCCUCCUUUUGCUUUUGGUGUUUGUGACUUAUUUGAGGUAUCACAUUUGAGGUACUAAGUUCUUGAAAGGCCAAGAACUACAAGCUACAACAAAGCGGUAUUCAUCUAACUAAUUUUUACGUUGUAUAUCUCCAAUUGCAUGCUAGCUAGGGGUAUAUGCUUUGGAUGAAAUGAAAUUGUAUGUAUAACUUGAGAAAACUUAGAUCCAAAGCAUCUAUGGUUGUAUGUGCACCAUAGGAUUGUUAUAGUGCUCAAAACCUAUCAAUGGUAUCAGAGACUAGGGUGUUUUCUGUUAUAUUGAUGCAAUUGUAUUGUUUUCAAAGCUGAAAAUUUUCAAUUUUUUGGUCUCUGACUGCUGGACUCGACGAGUCCAUGCCAUGAACUCGACGAGUUAGAUCAUCUGUUGGCAGAUUUUCGAGUUUUUGGCCAGAUUUGGAUUAGGAUCAUUACCACAAACUGUUUUGACUGAUAAAAUUCGAUUUUUCUGAGAAGGUAUUGAUUAUCCUCAUCUAGUUGAAUGAUGAUUGUCAAAUUUUAAGAUAAUUACUUGAUUUUGUGAAAAACUAAUUAUUUGUAGAAUUUGAUUUGAAUCAUCUUGCUAUAUGAAACUAGAUUAAGUCAAUUUUGUGAUAUAGUUAAUUAUAUGAUUAAUUUAAUUGUUUUCAAAUUGAUUCAAGAAGUUUUGAAAAGUUUCAAAACUUGCCCUCAUGUUUUGGAAUUUAAAAAUUGAUUAAAAGGUUUUAUUUUGAAAUAUUUAAAUUCUAAACCAUAGAGUUUUAAAAGUGUAAAAUUCAAUCCUUGUACUAUUAUAAUAUUAAAAGCUCAAUACUUAUGUAUGUAUAAGAUAGUCAGUCUUAUCAUUAGUAGGCCUCAUUCACGAAGCUGGUCUAUAAGGGGAGGGGGGUAUAAGGAAAUUGCCUAUAAAAUGGCGAUUGAAUGAGUGCCCAUUCUCAUCCACCGCUUCCUUGACUAGUGGAGGGUCCGUUAGCCGAACAGGUAGGAUAUGACAUUAAUUCUCAUUAAAAAGUAUAAUGAUAAUUAUAAAAGUAACUAAAUGUUUUCAUAAAUUACCAAUCUUAGUUACUUUAGGAAAAAUGUUAAAAUGGUGCCAUUCCAUGAAAUUGCACUUUGCACCUUGCCAAGUCGUUAAUAGAGCGUGUGUGGUUUACCGACACACUAAUUUGGACUACCAAGGGUGGCAAAGGGUAGCUCGAUGUUUGUCAUAGAUCAAUGGAGCAUGUGUGAUUAACCGACCCAUUGAUUAGAUGAUAAAUGACAUUGAGAGUGCCAAGCAUAUUUGCAUGGUUAUUUACACCUUGUUUGUGAACCUCGGUAUCCCAGUCACAAACUUGAAGGGAAUAAUCGAGAUUUCAACAUGCCAUUGAAAGGUUCAAUGAAUCUCAAAGAACUAGGAAUUUCAUAAAACUUAAUUCUUUUCAAAUUUCGUUUUUGGUGGUGAAAUUGGUAAAUCAUCAUUUACCUCCCUUCAAAUCAUUUGCAAUUAGAUUACGACAUCCCUUUUCUAAGUUGUGAAUUAUUGUGUUUGGGUCCUAGCCUUAAUAUUUCAUUUUGGUGUUAUAUUAAGGAUUUUCUAUCUAAUAAAACUUGUUCUUCCUUUUCAAAUGUCUACUUCAAACUCAAAUGCUUCUGACUCUUUCUCCCUCAUGAACUUAUGUGGGAUGGUCAUUUUCGAUUGGUCGAAUUUCAAUGAUUGGAUUCGAAAAAUUUGCAUGACCAUUCGAUGCGAGGAAAAUGAAUAUGUCCUUGAAAAAGAGCUAAAGGAGAUUGAUGAAGAAACUACUACUCCUGAGCAACUGGCUGAGUAUAGGGCUCAUGAGAAGGACACGACAAUGGUGUCGUCCAUCAUGCUAGCCAUUAUGACUUCUGAGCUUCGGAAGUCCUACGAGGACUUCUGGCCUUUCGAGAUGCACCAAGACUUGAUGGAAAGGUACCAUCAGAGUACUCAUCAAGAAAGGUAUGAAAUCAUUGCCUCCAUGAUAACAACAAAAAGAAGGAUGGAGAGUCCAUCACGACCCAUUUGCAAAAGAUGCAAAGAUAUGUGGACCGCUUGCUAAAGUUGAAUGUCAAUUUCGACGAAGAGUUGGCUAUCAACAUUAUCCUACACUCUUUACCUUCUUUUUAGGAUCAGUUCCAAAUAACUCAUCAUAUGAACAAGGAGGAAGUUAAUCUAAGCAAGCUUCAAGGCCUUCUGAGAACUGUUGAAAGUAGUUUGAAAGGCAAGUCUGUUGUACCUACUCCUACUGUUGCUGCCCCAGUCCUGGUAAUUGGACAUGGUAAAGGGAAGAAAAGGAAAUCUCCUACAAAGAAUCACAAGGGAAAGUCUCGUGAUGGAUCGUCUUCUCCAACCCAAAGGAAGCAGAGUGCUUCCAUUGUCAUGAAAAUGGACAUUAGAAACGAAGCUGCCCUAAAUACUUGCAGGACAUUAAGGAUGGGAAGAUAAAGCACACCUUCGCAGGUAUUUACACUAUUCAAUGUAACAACUCAUCAUAUGCUAGUUCUUGGGUCCUUGAUACAGGAUAUGGUUUUCAAAUUUGUUAUGAUUUCUAUGGUCUAAAAAGAAGUAGAGAUGUGGAGCAUGGGAAGAUGAACUUGAUCAUGGGGAAUAGGAAAGCGUCACCUGUCACCAAGAUCGGAUUUUAUUCUUUAUUGCUUAGUAAUGGGUUAGGGAUAGAUUUGGGCCCAAUUUCGAAUGAUUUAGGUAAAUCAAUAAUACUUAUAGUUUGGGCUAAUGAUCCAAGUUGGUAUCAGAUGCAUCAACUAGUGGAUGCUGCUGAAUUUGAUGUGUUGUAACCUGAGGAAUAUGUAUCAUGUGGGAUGGAUGUUUGUUAUUUCUUUCAUGUUCUUUGAAACGACCCACCCUUGUAUCUUUGGUUGAACUAUGAUCAUGAUAAUAUUUAUUAUAUGCUGAAAUUGGUUGAUAAAAUCUAUUAUAUGUUUAUCAGACAUACGUU
This 4561-nucleotide long non-coding RNA is filed under the name Lactuca sativa (garden lettuce). RNAcentral's name for it is "long non-coding RNA (LSAT_LNC004271)". Lineage: Eukaryota; Viridiplantae; Streptophyta; Magnoliopsida; Asterales; Asteraceae. The record is from RNAcentral.